GUAGGUGGCAAGCGUUGUCCGGAAUUAUGGGCGUAAAGCGCGCGCAGGCGGUCCUUUAAGUCUGAUGUGAAAGCCCACGGCUCAACCGUGGAGGGUCAUUGGAAACUGGGGGACUUGAGUACAGAAGAGGAAAGCGGAAUUCCAAGUGUAGCGGUGAAAUGCGUAGAGAUUUGGAGGAACACCAGUGGCGAAGGCGGCUUUCUGGUCUGUAACUGACGCUGAGGCGCGAAAGCGUGGGGAGCAAACAGGAUCAGAUACCCUGGUAGUCCACGCCGUAAACGAUGAGUGCUAAGUGUUAGGGGGUUUCCCGCCCCUUAGUGCUGCAGCUAACGCAUUAAGCACUCCGCCUGGGGAGUACGGCCGCAAGGCUG
RNAcentral lists this ribosomal RNA (371 nucleotides) under uncultured organism. RNAcentral's name for it is "partial 16S ribosomal RNA". It matches the Rfam family "Bacterial small subunit ribosomal RNA", at positions 527 to 896 of the family's 1533-position model. The record is from RNAcentral.